RNAcentral lists this ribosomal RNA (639 nucleotides) under uncultured bacterium. Its description in RNAcentral is "bacterial SSU rRNA". It matches the Rfam family "Bacterial small subunit ribosomal RNA", at positions 232 to 885 of the family's 1533-position model. The record is from RNAcentral.
CGCGGCCUAUCAGCUUGUUGGUGAGGUAACGGCUCACCAAGGCAUCGACGGGUAGCUGGUCUGAGAGGACGGUCAGCCACACUGGGACUGAGACACGGUCCAGACUCCUACGGGAGGCAGCAGUGGGGAAUCUUGCGCAAUGGGCGAAAGCCUGACGCAGCCACGCCGCGUGAGGGAUGAAGGCUUUCGGGUUGUAAACCUCUUUCAGCAGGGACGAAAAUGACGGUACCUGCAGAAGAAGCUCCGGCCAACUACGUGCCAGCAGCCGCGGUAACACGUAGGGAGCAAGCGUUGUCCGGAUUUAUUGGGCGUAAAGAGCUCGUAGGCGGUUCAGUAAGUCAGGUGUGAAAGUCCAAGGCUCAACCUUGGAACGCCACUUGAUACUGCUGUGACUGGAGUCCGGUAGAGGAGUGUGGAAUUCCUGGUGUAGCGGUGAAAUGCGCAGAUAUCAGGAGGAACACCGACGGCGAAGGCAGCACUCUGGGCCGGUACUGACGCUGAGGAGCGAAAGCAUGGGGAGCGAACAGGAUUAGAUACCCUGGUAGUCCAUGCCGUAAACGUUGGGCACUAGGUGUGGGGCCUUAUCAACGGGUUCCGUGCCGUAGCUAACGCAUUAAGUGCCCCGCCUGGGGAGUACGG